UACAGAGGCCUCGAGCGUUAGGCGGAAUCACUGGGCUUAAAGCGUGUGUAGGCGGACUUCUAAGUACCUUGUGAAAUCCCACGGCUCACCCGUGGAACUGCUGGGUAUACUGGUCGUCUUGAGCCUUCUAGGGGCUACCGGAACAAAUGGUGGAGCGGUGAAAUGCGUAGAGAUCGGAAAGAACACCAACGGCGAAAGCACUCUGCUGGGCCGACACUGACACUGAGAGACGAAAGCUAGGGGAGCGAAUGGG
RNAcentral lists this ribosomal RNA (253 nucleotides) under uncultured bacterium. RNAcentral's name for it is "partial 16S ribosomal RNA". It matches the Rfam family "Bacterial small subunit ribosomal RNA", at positions 524 to 776 of the family's 1533-position model. The record is from RNAcentral.